This 467-nucleotide ribosomal RNA is filed under the name uncultured bacterium. RNAcentral describes it as "partial 16S ribosomal RNA". It matches the Rfam family "Bacterial small subunit ribosomal RNA", at positions 28 to 507 of the family's 1533-position model. The record is from RNAcentral.
GACGAACGCUGGCGGCGUGCUUAACACAUGCAAGUCGAACGGAAAGGCCUCUUUCGGGGGGUACUCGAGUGGCGAACGGGUGAGUAACACGUGAGUAACCUGCCCUUGACUUUGGGAUAACUUCAGGAAACUGGGGCUAAUACCGGAUAGGAGCUCCUGCUGCAUGGUGGGGGUUGGAAAGUUUCGGCGGUUGGGGAUGGACUCGCGGCUUAUCAGCUUGUUGGUGGGGUAGUGGCUUACCAAGGCUUUGACGGGUAGCCGGCCUGAGAGGGUGACCGGCCACAUUGGGACUGAGAGACGGCCCAGACGCCUACGGGAGGCAGCAGUGGGGAAUAUUGCACAAGGGGUGGAAGCCUGAUGCAGCAACGCCGUGGGCGGGAGGACGGCCUUCGGGUUGUAAACCGCUUUCGCUCAUGACGAAGCUUUGUGUGACGGUAGUGGGUAAAGAAGCACCGGCUAACUACGUG